RNAcentral lists this long non-coding RNA (261 nucleotides) under Homo sapiens (human). Its description in RNAcentral is "non-protein coding FEZF1-AS1:6". The record is from RNAcentral. Lineage: Eukaryota; Metazoa; Chordata; Mammalia; Primates; Hominidae.
GAUCUCUGACCUGCGUUCUUAGCUGGGACGUCGAGUUCUCCCAGGAUAAUUAUCGACCAGGUGUUCCAAGAUAAUGAAUACUUCCAUAGCAACAAAAGUCUGACAAUAAACGGUUACCUUGAUUUUCACAUUUUCAAAGAAAAAUCCCUCAAUGGCAACUAGACCAGAAGUCUCAACACUGAAUAUGCAAUAAUGGCUACAAGAAAAAGAAAUUCUUGGUCCCCAACAUGGAAAUCCAAGAUGCAAGGAAAUCAUAGGCUC